AAUAUUGGACAAUGGGGGCAACCCUGAUCCAGCCAUGCCGCGUGUGUUAAUAAUGUAUUCGGAUUGUAAAGCACUUUAAGUUGGGAGGAAGGGCUUUAGGCUAAUACCCUGAAGUUUUGUCGUUACAAAAAGAAUAGUCACUGGCGAACUCUCAUCCUUCAGCUGCGGUAAUACAGAGGGUGCAAUCGUUAAUCCGAAUUACUGGGCGUAAAGGACGCGUAGGUGGUUCAGUAAGAUGGGUGUGAAAUCCCCGGUCUUAACCUGGGAACUGCUUUCAUAACUGCUGAGCUAGAGUACGGUAGAGGGGAGUGGAAUUUCCUGUGUAGCGGUGAAAUGCGUAGAUAUAGGAAGGAACACCAGUGGCGAAGGAGACUACCUGGACUGAUACUGACACUGAGGUGCGAAAGCGUGGGGAGCAAA
This 420-nucleotide ribosomal RNA is filed under the name uncultured bacterium. RNAcentral describes it as "partial 16S ribosomal RNA". It matches the Rfam family "Bacterial small subunit ribosomal RNA", at positions 360 to 772 of the family's 1533-position model. The record is from RNAcentral.